This 631-nucleotide ribosomal RNA is filed under the name uncultured bacterium. RNAcentral's name for it is "bacterial SSU rRNA". The stretch from base 1 to 542 matches the Rfam family "Bacterial small subunit ribosomal RNA", at positions 338 to 873 of the family's 1533-position model. The record is from RNAcentral.
CCUACGGGAGGCAGCAGUGGGGAAUUUUGGACAAUGGGCGCAAGCCUGAUCCAGCAAUGCCGCGUGAGUGAAGAAGGCCUUCGGGUUGUAAAGCUCUUUUGUCAGGGAAGAAAAGGCUACGGAUAAUACCUGUGGCUCAUGACGGUACCUGAAGAAUAAGCACCGGCUAACUACGUGCCAGCAGCCGCGGUAAUACGUAGGGUGCAAGCGUUAAUCGGAAUUACUGGGCGUAAAGCGUGCGCAGGCGGUUUUGUAAGACUGUCGUGAAAUCCCCGGGCUCAACCUGGGAAUGGCGAUGGUGACUGCAAGGCUAGAGUUUGGCAGAGGGGGGUAGAAUUCCACGUGUAGCAGUGAAAUGCGUAGAUAUGUGGAGGAACACCGAUGGCGAAGGCAGCCCCCUGGGUCAAAACUGACGCUCAUGCACGAAAGCGUGGGGAGCAAACAGGAUUAGAUACCCUGGUAGUCCACGCCCUAAACGAUGUCUACUAGUUGUCGGGUCUUAAUUGACUUGGUAACGCAGCUAACGCGUGAAGUAGACCGCCUGGGGGAGGUACGGUCGCGAGAAGUAAACGUAACGAAAGAAGUUAGACGGCGUGAGACGUAGCCGACGGACGACGACGAGGGAGGAGGG